Molecule: ribosomal RNA, 2548 nt
Filed under: Clostridium perfringens
Lineage: Bacteria; Bacillati; Bacillota; Clostridia; Eubacteriales; Clostridiaceae
Description: partial 23S ribosomal RNA
Rfam family: Bacterial large subunit ribosomal RNA
Source: RNAcentral
AAAGUGGAGGCUAUUGUAACUGAAGAGAACUGGAAAGUUCCACCGUAGAAGGUAAUAGUCCUGUAAGUGAAACGAGAAGACCACGAGUUAUGAUCCAGAGUACCACGAGACACGUGAAACCUUGUGGGAAGCAGGGAGGACCACCUCCCAAGGCUAAAUACUACCUGAUGACCGAUAGUGAAGCAGUACCGUGAGGGAAAGGUGAAAAGAACCCCGGGAGGGGAGUGAAAUAGAACCUGAAACCGUGUGCCUACAACCGCUCAGAGCCCCUUAUGAGGGUGAUGAGGUGCUUUUUGUAGAACGAGCCAACGAGUUACGGUAUGUAGCAAGGUUAAGUACUUAAGGUACGGAGCCGAAGGGAAACCGAGUCUGAAUAGGGCGACUAGUUGCAUGCCGUAGACCCGAAACCGGGUGACCUAUCCAUGGCCAGGUUGAAGCGAGGGUAAAACCUCGUGGAGGACCGAACCACGUUGCUGUUGAAAAAGCAUGGGAUGAGCUGUGGAUAGCGGAGAAAUUCCAAUCGAACCCGGAGAUAGCUGGUUCUCUCCGAAAUAGCUUUAGGGCUAGCGUCGAGUAUGAGUAGUGGAGGUAGAGCACUGAAUGGGCUAGGGGGCAUAGCGCUUACCGAACCUUAUCAAACUCCGAAUGCCACAUACUUUGAGCUCGGCAGUCAGACUACGAAUGAUAAGAUCCGUGGUCAAAAGGGAAACAGCCCAGAUCGUCAGCUAAGGUCCCAAAGUGUAAGUUAAGUGGGAAAGGAUGUGAGAUUUCUAAGACAACUAGGAUGUUGGCUUAGAAGCAGCCAUUCAUUAAAAGAGUGCGUAAUAGCUCACUAGUCGAGAGAUCUUGCGCCGAAAAUGUAACGGGGCUAAACUUACCACCGAAGCUACGGGCUUGAACUUAGUUCAAGCGGUAGGAGAGCGUCGUAACCGGGCUGAAGUCGUACCGUAAGGAGCGGUGGACUGGUUACGAGUGAGAAUGUUGGCAUCAGUAGCGAGAUGUGGGUGAGAAUCCCACAGGCCGAAAACCUAAGGUUUCCUCAGGAAGGUUCGUCCGCUGAGGGUUAGUCGGGACCUAAGCCGAGGCCGAAAGGCGUAGGUGAUGGACAACUGGUUGAUAUUCCAGUACCACUACCAUCGUUAUUAUCGAUGGCGUGACGCAGGAGGAUAGUGUGUGCUAGCUAUUGGAUGCUAGUCUAAGCGUUUAGGCAGUGAGAGUAGGCAAAUCCGCUCUCAUAAUGCUGAGGCGUGAUGGGGAAGGUUCUACGGAACCGAAGUACAUGAUUCCACGCUGCCAAGAAAAGCGUCUAGAGAGAGAAGUAGUGCCCGUACCGCAAACCGACACAGGUAGGUGAGGAGAGAAUCCUAAGGCCGGCGGAAGAAUUACAGUUAAGGAACUCGGCAAAUUGACCCCGUAAGUUCGCGAGAAGGGGUGCCUACGAGAGUAGGCCGCAGAGAAUAGGCCCAAGCAACUGUUUAGCAAAAACACAGGUCUCUGCUAAAGCGUAAGCUGAUGUAUAGGGGCUGACGCCUGCCCGGUGCUGGAAGGUUAAGGGGAACACUUAGCGCAAGCGAAGGUGUGAACUUAAGCCCCAGUAAACGGCGGCCGUAACUAUAACGGUCCUAAGGUAGCGAAAUUCCUUGUCAGGUAAGUUCUGACCCGCACGAAUGGCGUAAUGACUUGGGCACUGUCUCAACUGUAAAUCCGGCGAAGUUGUAGUGCGAGUGAAGAUGCUCGCUACCCGCGAUUGGACGGAAAGACCCCGUAGAGCUUUACUGUAGCUUAGCAUUGAGUUUUGGUAUUGUCUGUACAGGAUAGGUGGGAGACUAGGAAACCAGGGCGUCAGCCUUGGUGGAGUCAACCUUGGGAUACCACCCUGACAGUACUGAAAUUCUAACUGGCGGCCAUGAAUCUGGUCACAGGACAUUGUUAGGUGGGCAGUUUGACUGGGGCGGUCGCCUCCUAAAAAGUAACGGAGGCGCCCAAAGGUUCCCUCAGAACGGUCGGAAAUCGUUCGAAGAGUGCAAAGGCAGAAGGGAGCCUGACUGCGACACCCACAAGUGGAGCAGGGACGAAAGUCGGGCUUAGUGAUCCGGUGGUACCUCGUGGGAGGGCCAUCGCUCAACGGAUAAAAGCUACCUCGGGGAUAACAGGCUGAUCUCCCCCAAGAGUCCACAUCGACGGGGAGGUUUGGCACCUCGAUGUCGGCUCGUCGCAUCCUGGGGCUGAAGUAGGUCCCAAGGGUUGGGCUGUUCGCCCAUUAAAGCGGCACGCGAGCUGGGUUCAGAACGUCGUGAGACAGUUCGGUCCCUAUCCGUCGCGGGCGUAGGAAAUUUGAGAGGAGCUGUCCUUAGUACGAGAGGACCGGGAUGGACUGACCUCUGGUGUACCAGUUGUUCCGCCAGGAGCACAGCUGGGUAGCUAAGUCGGGAAUGGAUAAACGCUGAAAGCAUCUAAGCGUGAAGCCAACCUCAAGAUGAGAUUUCCCAUAGCGUAAGCUAGUAAGAUCCCUUGAAGAACACAAGGUUGAUAGGUCGGGGGUGUAAGC